AGCGCCCGCCCGGCCCGCGCCUCCCUCGCCUCUCCCGGCCCCCAGGCCCGCUCCUGCCGCCCCCCCAAGACCGGGCCGCGCCCCUCUGCGGAGGAUGCCAGCUGCCCCCUGCGCCCGCGGCCCCGGGCAGCUCCUGCGCGCGGGGACCCCGGGCGGCGGCUGGGCGCGCUGAGCGGGCGCGGGUGGUGCUGAAGGGACAGCUCCCGGCCGCAGACCCCGCCCUCAGACCCCGCCCGCAGACCCCCACCGGCACCCCCGUGGCCCCGCGGGGAGCCGGGCUGGCUCAUGGUCCCCGAAGCGGCGGGCCGGGCGGAGGCUCCUGCUGCCCCAGGGCGCACGGGGAUGCCCCGCGGGUGAGGCAGCCCCCAGCUGCCAGCCGCGUUCAUGGCGGUGGCCAGGAAGAUCAAAACUUUGCUGACGGUCAACAUCCUGGUGUUCGUGGGCAUCAUCCUCUUCUCCGUGUACUGCCGCCUGCAGGACCGCUCGGAGGGGCUGGUGCAGAUUGUGCGCAGCGCCGACCGCCGUGUGCGCAGCCGGCAGGCCAAGGUGGGCGCACUGGUGGACCGCGAAGCCAUCCUGCAGCGCCUGGACCACCUAGAGGAGGUGGUCUACAACCAGCUGAAUGGCCUCGCCAAGCCCAUCGGUCUGGUGGAGGGGCCGGGGGGCCUGGGCCAGGGUGGCAUGGCGGCCACACUGCGUGACGACAGCCAGGACACAGAAAGCAAGUUUGAGGAAUACGGAUACAACGCUCAGCUCAGCGACCGCAUCUCCCUGGACAGGACCAUCCCUGACUACAGGCCCCAAAAGUGCAGACAGAUGACCUAUUCCGACGACCUGCCCCAGAUCUCCGUGGUGUUCAUCUUCGUCAAUGAGGCCCUCUCAGUCAUCCUGCGCUCCGUCCACAGCGUGGUCAACCACACUCCCUCCCAGCUCCUCAAGGAGGUCAUCUUGGUGGACGAUGACAGUGACAAUGUGGAGCUCAAGUUCAACCUGGACCAGUACGUCAACAAGAGGUACCCGGGCCUCGUGAAGAUCGUCCGCAACAGUAGGAGAGAAGGCUUGAUCCGGGCGCGGCUGCAGGGCUGGAAGGCGGCCACGGCCCCCGUCGUCGGCUUCUUCGACGCCCACGUGGAGUUCAGCACCGGCUGGGCCGAGCCCGCCCUCACACGGAUCCGGGAGGACCGCCGGCGCAUCGUGCUGCCCGCCAUCGACAACAUCAAGUACGACACGUUCGAGGUGCAGCAGUACGCCAGCGCGGCCCACGGCUACAACUGGGGCCUCUGGUGCAUGUACAUCAUCCCGCCCCAGGACUGGCUGGACCGCGGCGAUGAGGCGGCACCCAUCAGGACCCCGGCCAUGAUCGGCUGCUCAUUUGUGGUGGACCGAGAGUACUUCGGGGACAUUGGCCUGCUGGACCCGGGCAUGGAGGUGUACGGGGGCGAGAACGUCGAGCUGGGCAUGCGGGUGUGGCAGUGCGGUGGCAGCAUGGAGGUGCUGCCCUGCUCCCGCGUGGCCCACAUCGAGCGCACCAGGAAGCCCUACAACAACGACAUCGACUACUAUGCCAAGCGCAACGCCCUGCGGGCGGCCGAGGUGUGGAUGGACGGCUUCAAGUCCCACGUGUACAUGGCCUGGAACAUCCCCAUGACUAACCCAGGCGUGGACUUCGGGGACGUGUCGGAGCGGCUGGCCCUGCGCCAGCGGCUGAAGUGCCGAAGCUUCAAAUGGUACCUGGAGAACGUGUACCCGGAAAUGAGGACCUACAACAACACCCUCACGUACGGAGAGGUGAGAAACAGCAAAGCCAGCGGCUACUGCUUGGACCAGGGAGCAGAAGACGACGACCGAGCGAUCCUCUACCCCUGCCACGGGAUGUCCUCCCAGCUGGUGCGGUACAGCGCCGACGGCCUGCUGCAGCUCGGGCCCCUGGGCUCCACUGCCUUCCUGCCGGACUCCAAGUGCCUGGUGGACGACGGCAGGGGCCGCGCGCCCGCCCUGAGGAAGUGCGAGGAUGUGGCCCGGCCGGCGCAGCGGCUGUGGGACUUCACCCAGAGCGGCCCCAUCGUGAGCCGAGACACGGGCAGGUGCCUGGAGGUGGAGAUGUCCAAGGACGCCAACUUCGGGCUGCGGCUGGUGGUGCAGAGGUGCUCGGGGCAGAAGUGGACCAUCAGAAACUGGAUCAAGCACGGGCGGCACUGACCCCCGGCCUCACCCUGUGCCCUCCCCCACGCGGACCCUGAGGACCUGGGGGAGGCGUCGUGCCCCUUCCCACCCACCCAGCACCGGAACCCAAGGGCCCUGGCCUUGCCCGCACCAUCUCAGGCCCGGACCUCUCCUCGGGCCUGUCGCCCAGGACUGCGGGGCCUCCCUGUGUGUCUGGAGGCAGAUGCCAGGAAUAGGCUACCCCACCAAGAGCGAGGACCCUCCUCGGCUGGGCAGCUUUGCCUGAGCACAGCAGCUGACCGCCAGCUCCAGCCCCCAAUCAUGUGCCUUUUCUACGGUAUUUCUGUCCAGCUGCCCGGACGGCCACCUCUUCUGCAUGUGCUGAAGCCCCUGUACAUACCCCCACGCAGACGUCAUGUCACCCCUGUGAGCCCAGAGGGCGGCCGAGCGCCCGCCCGUCUUCUCGGGACAGAACCGUCACCUCCUGGGGCUCCCCACGGCCUCCCGAAGCUCCGCCUUCCUGUGAUCUCAGAACUCAGGCAGAGCCGAGCCCUCUCCGCGCAAGUGAGAGGGGAGAAGGGAGACGUCAGUGUGGUGUCCUCAUGACGAGCCAGGGCCAUGAGCAGGUCUGUGCCUCCUGCUGCUGAGAGAAGCUCUGAAGGGUCCAGUUUCUCCCUGCUCAGCAGAGAAUUCUGCCGGCUCCAACCCAAGCCCCAGAAAAGCACUUGCUCUAGCCCACAUCUUCCCCACAUUUAAGACGAUGGUGGUGGGCAGUCAGCCGCUUGUGGGUCCACGAGCAUCCGGAUGUUUCUCCAGGGAUGCGCAGCAGCCGUCAGCACGCCAUGCACCGCCCGUGGUUACGGCAGAUGUUGUCACAAGCUCAACUUUCGAAGCGUAUGUGUCACAAUUCAUCAGGUUGCCAGUUGCGUCGCAGUCGGCCGUUUGUAGCCCACAGGGGAUCUCACAGAAAAGCUCACGCCUGGAAAAGUUCUUCUCAGCAUCUCACCAAACCUCCCAUCCUCUUGGUUCACGGUACGUCCCCGUGUUCGAAGGCCUGCUGUCCGUCAGGAUCAGCUGGCCCCCUGCUCCUGCCCCGGCACCAGGACCCAGGAGGACGGGGCAGCUGGCGGGGCACCGAGCUGGUCCACAGGUAGCAGGACGGGGCGGGUCAGCCAGGGCGGAGGUGCUGUCCACACUCUGGUGUGAGGCUCUUGGUUUAUCAAAACUGAGAUGGAACAAAAUGCCUUCUUCAUAAAACAUGAUCGUGGAGCUCACUUCCUUUUAUUCACUUUGGUCCCGACCUGCCUCUUGGGCAGCCAUGCCCCUCUUGGAGCCUGCCCUUCUCUAGAAGAACUGCCCGAGAGUCCUGGGGUCACUCAGUGCAGAGCGCACCCCCAAAUACCAGCUGAAGGAGAGCUGCUCAUGGACCACGACACCCAGCGCUGCCACUGCAGCUCCCGGCCACACGCGGCGCUGUGGAGAUGCUCCCUGCACGGCUUUGCGGUUGACACUUGGCCGCAGCUGGCGGGCCCGUCCCUGCUGGUCUGGAUCCCCGCCUGCACCCCAGACACGCCCUUGCUGGGGCUGAGUUCACAGGUCUUUCUAAUUCACAGUGACACACCCUUCCGUUGAUCCAUCACCAUAAUCCCGGGUUCAGAACAAACUCUAACGCCAUCCACGGACUGGGCUGAAGCCAACCCAGUCCCCCGAAGCCUCUGACCCUGUGUCCACACUUCUUUCCCCUUAAGGCCAAAUAAUUGCUCUUCUUUACCUGUUCUUUAACCACUGGUCUGAGGCUGAGGCCACCCCGACUGUACCAGGAGGGUCCCAUCCAUCAAACAAGGGGAUUUAUUGUGGGGGGGCAGAUUAGGCACACCCUGGAAGGGCUGAGCCUCUGAACAGGGACACCGCGGCAUCCAGGGCCUCAUCCUGCACUGGCCAGAGGGACCCAGGGGAAGGCGGUGUUACUGGAGGCCGGGAGCGGGGGCCGCUUGUGGGGAUGGGACUACAGAAGAAGCAUUGGAAGCAACAAGCCCCACCAGGAAUGCCCUGAAGGUGGAGACAUGAAGGGAAAACAGCCUGGUUGCUCUCCAGCCCCCAGUUGUCCACCAGCGUCUCCUCCGGCCGAGCCUGGAACUAAAGGACGAGGAACCACAGGAGAUGCUGCUCACGGCGUCGCAGAGCAGGGAGUGCAGGCGGGAAGUGGGUCUGGGAGCCAAGCGGCAGGUGCGCCCACGGGUCAUCACCAUGGGACAACGGGAUUUCCUGACUGACAAGCUGGAGCAAGGUUGGAGGUCACCCUUCCCUCCAGGGGCCCCAAGAGCAGGAUUUUCCGUCCAGUGCAGGCUGACAUCCCCACACCCAGGGCCAAGCUGGGUGCUGGGGUCUCACGGAAGGGCACCCACGAUGGGACCAGGCAUGCUUCUGGCACACCCAGGGCUGUCCACGGCUGGACCACACCAGCUUGCAGCAGGAGCCAAGUUUUACAUUUUCAGGAACUUUGUGAACCAGUUGUGAAACACAGCUAUUACUAAAAAUAAAUUACAUGAACUUACAACUAAAUAAGUUAUAUUAAAAACAAAGGUAAUAAAUACUCAAUGCCCACCGGCUCCCAGUGAUCGGCUCUAUUUUGUUACUUCUAUGCCCUGAGAUUACUCGUGGCUGUCACACCUGUGGUGGGUGGUGGCUGCGCCCCUGCGUCCCUUCCCGGCUCUGUGUUCCGAGCUGGCAGCCUGGCAGCCUGAAUUGUCCGAGGUGGAAAUAUUCAUAAACGGGCGUGGACCACACUACACACUGGGCUGAGCUUUACAGAGAGCCGGUCGUGGGACGCUGACCAGCACACCGCUGCUCUCGCUCUCCCAGAAAUCCCGGACGAUGAGCCUCCUCUCCGCGUCGUGAACGUGACCGAAAAGGGACACACGAGUGGUCCUGUGAGAACAGAGACGGUCAGCUGCCCCCCGGUUUCCUGUCCCACCUGCUUGGGAAAGUGCCGGCAACCAUCCUCACAGGAAGGAGAAGGAGGAGGGAGAAACGUGCUGAGAACGCGACGUCUUAAUCCCCCUUAAUUCUUGGAAUAACCCUAAGUGGUCCUGAGGACUUCUGUGCCCCCUUUCCGGGUGGGGGGCAGAGGCUGGGGGUGGACACGAGGCAGGUCAGGGCUCAGACUUGGGUCUGCUUGACCCCAAACUUCCUCCUUCCGCUCGGCCUGCCGCCCAGUGUCUUUUCCUUUUUCAGCAGCAGUGAUCUUUUAAAUGGCAGAGAUUCAAGCAAAUAGAAUUUAGUAAAACUUAAUAACAGGCCCACUUCUUUCAUUAGUUCAAUUAUGAAUUGGGUCUGAAGCAAAAUCAGAAAAACCCACGCCGUUUGUUUAAAAUGGCUCGUGGGUAACAAACCUAACAGCCGUGCUCUGGGAGAGGCUGUGAAUAGGCAGAUGCUUCCGAUGAAAACAGCAAACCUGCAGAGGUUUCCUCUUUCCUCUGCUCCUGAUAGAGAUAAUGGGCAUCGGAAUUUAAUUUUGUCAAAUAAAAGGGCUCCUCGCUCCAAUGAAUCUUGGUUCCGGCUCAGACUGUCUGAGGGAGGGGAACCUGAGGUGGGAUUUGGCCCAGGGAGCGGGGUCCUCAGGAGACAGCAGGAGCGGGGCAUCCCCCAGCUCCUGGUUCAGGUGGGAGAGGCAGCCCCCCUGGGCCCCAGGCCGAAGGCACGCCUGCCAGGGUGGUCAGGGACCCAGCAGACACGAGGGUGGAGAGUCUCUGAGAAUCCGGGACAAGGCCUACUUGCAGCAAGAGCCCCGGAGCUGAGGGAGGGGCUGGCCCGGAAGAGGAAACGGGACGAGGGGCACUGGGGUCUGAAGUCCCCUCCCUGGUCCUGGCGCCCGGCCUGUCCUGGGGUCUCUGGCCCAACUGCAGGCACAGAGGGGUGCGGGGGUCGUGGUUUCAGCCUCCAGGGCGUUCUGGGCCUUAGUAGGUUUCAGGGCUGAGCCCUCGGCCUGGCAUAUUCAGUCAGGGAGUGCGGGGUCGGGUGGACAGGAGCCCGGACAGGAGCACAGCAUCCUUGCCUCACCGCCAUUCCCACACCAGAAGGGCCCAGCGUCACUUAACCCUUGCCUGAGAUUCCUAAUCAUGUGUGAACAAGGAGGCCGCAGGUUGUGUGGAGGUCCUGCCCCCUGCCCACGGCACCCCGAAGCCUGUCCUGGGCCCUCCCGGCAGGAGAAGGGACACGGCCUGCUGGUCCUCUGUUCACGCUCUCAGGUGCUCACUCCCUCAGCACGUUGUUCCGAGCACAGCGGCGGCAGGAGGCAGGAGUGGGGCCUGGUGGGCCGCUGGCGGGCAGGCACUGAGUUAGCACCGGCUGUGUGCGGCCUCGCGGAGCCCGGCUGCUCUGUGGAUCCCUGCACCUCACCCCCCGAGGAACUACUGUUCUCUGAAGUCGUCAAAGUUCUCCAGGAGAAACUGGCUCUGUUAUGUGGCUCCAGAUGACUGUUGGCUGUCCCCCCCCCCCCCACCCCGGCGUUCUGGAAGCUCAAGAAGUUUCCCUGGGAGGGGACCCGGGAGCGCCCCUGAGGUUUGGAAAAGGAACGCCCUCCCUCCCCAGGUUCCCCUGGUGGGUCCCUGACCGUCACCAUCACCAUGGUCUGCCCUUCAGCCUCAGACGCUGCUGCUCUGCCACAGCGUCGCUGACGGGAGAUGAGCGGCUGUGUGGAAAACACCAGAGGAAAAUCAACAGCUCGCCUGUGAAAGCACGUAUGUCUCUGUGGUUGGCGGCAGAGGACACGCAGGGUCACAGGCCAGGGGAUGCCUCAGGCAGAGGGGCCCCAUCCUACCCGCCCCUCCACCCCGGGCAGGCAAGGAUGGCCACGGGCAUGCUUGUCUUGGGGCUCCGAGGAAGAGUCUCCUUCUGCUUCAAGGUGUCGGGUCUCCCACAGGGAACGGGGUGACUCAGGGCCACAGGGCACAGAGCCGGGGUCUCUGCGGACGCAGGGCAGGUCACGCGGACAGUAAGGGGUGUUGUCUCCACUCACAGUGGCCCUUGGCCCCUGAGGAGGGGACCCCAAGAGACUCCUUCCAGGCCCCCCACCGCUGGCCCUGAGAGACUCGCAGACCUCCGGGCGGGCCGUCGCCAAGCUCCGGGAGGCCCAUCUCCCAGCUGCCUGCCACUUCCAAGUCACCAUCCACACGACACUCGUAGGCCGCUGGGGGCAUCCUGUCUGCUGUUCAGCCUCGACCUGGGCACCAGCCACCCGGCUUCCUACCACCUCCCACCAAAGCCUUCACUGCUCUGGUGCCGACCUAGAGCCUGGGAAGCCUCGGGCGCUGAACCGCCAACCAACCGUUGGCAGGCAGUGUGGGGCCCUCAGCGGGCACAUCCCUGCGCCCAGGUCAGCCUGAGAGCCGCCGCACAUGCCGUCCUGCCUCACCCACCUGGGACCCCGACCCUGGGCUGCCCGCCCUUCGGGACAAGUGGUCCUGACUCAUAGGCCCUCCCGGAUCAGGGUCCUGGGGCUGCCGUGACAGAGAACCACGCAGUGGGGGCCUAAAACAGCAGGAUGGUCUCCUCUCACGGUCUGAAGCCUGGAAGUCCAGACGCGAGCUGUCGCAGGAUUCUGCUACCUCGUCCAGCCUCUGGGGGCCGCCGGCGUCCUUGGUGUCCCCUGGCCUGUAGACACAUCCCCCGUCUCUGCCUCCAUCACCCCCUGACCUGUCGUGUCUCUGAGUCCCUCUUCCCCCUUCUCACGAGGGCUCCAGCCAUGGAAGGAGGCCCCCUGCCGGCUCCACCAGAGUCAGAAACCGUCCUUGGGAACUGGGUCUCACACCUGGCCCAUGCCGGCGACCCUCCCUCCCCUAGGGUCCCAGGGAUGUGGCUGGAAUCCAGCCUGGUGCCUGAGCACACCCCUCCCGGGAGCCGACAAAGAAUGGCCUGUCCCAGCUGGUCGAGGAGUGGGGAGGACGGGAGGGGCUGCCCUCCCCACAGUGGCUGGAAGGCCACCAAGGCGGGGCUCCCUCUGCAGGGCAAACGCCACGCAGAGCGGCAGGGGUGUGGCUGGCGCCCACACCACCCACAAAGACUCUGCUCGGACAACCCACGCUCCAGGAGCAUCGAAGGGGCACAGAGGAGCUGCUGGCCAGGUGGGAGCCCGCAGCUCAGAAGGCUCGCCGGCAGCGCCACUGCAACCAGCUUGCUCAGGGUGCCUUCGGUGGUAGCAGCUGCCGUGGACACCGACGGCCAGUGAGGCGGUCCCUUCCUGUGCUGGGGUCGACAGUGACCCCAAGGAGUGUGUCCACCCGGAACCUCAGGACGGGACUUACUGGGAAAAGGGCCUUGUGGAUGUGAUUAGCGAUCAUUGACCCAGGAGCAGGGUGGGCCCUGACCCAGUCACUGGCGUCUUCACAGGAAGAAGAGAGUAGGACACAGAAACACGCGGAGGGACAGUGCCAGGCGAAGACAGGCAGAGGCUGGAGUGAGGCACCCACAGCCCAGGAACACCCAGGGCUGCUGGCGGCACCUCGAGCUGGAGAGAGGCCGGGACCAGACUCCCUCUGGGCCCAGAAGGAGCCAGCCCUCCUGCGACACCCGGCCCUGGGACUCCCACCCCCAGUCUGAGAGGAUAAGUUCCUGCGGUUGAGCCCCCACGUUUGUGGUGCUGUGUCACGGCGGCCCCAGGACACUGGUACUCCCAUUUCAGCGAUGACCCGUUUCUGAGAUGUGAGAUGAUGAGGUGUCUUUAAACAGACACACUCAUCAGUAAAGAUAUCUAUUGAUCAGUUGACAAAAAUGUUGUGACCAGGGCCUUGCAGGAACCCAACCCAGCGUCUCCCCUGGAGCAACAGCCUGGUACCCACUGAUUCCAUGUUCACGGCGACGCUCUAGAGCUUGACUAUCGCAAAUAUGAGAACCAAGAGUAUCUAUAACUGGAGGAAAUGCUACUUUCCGUUUAGAAGUUAGUGAAGAUAAAGAUGUGAUUUCUCCCACCCAAGCUCACCAGCCCUGUGGGCUACUGCACCAGCACCAGCAUGCUGGGGCUGUCCCCUCUUGGUGAUCCCAGGAGGCAAACGACUCUGUCUGGGGAGCAGGCGUCUUCAUUGUCAUGUCCUGAGAGGCUACCGGAACGUGGGCCCCGGGGAGGUGGCGAGGAGGCCUCUGAAUCAGCUGAGAUGAAUUCCACCACUCACAGGAAUAGGGCCUUGAAGGUUCAGAGCAGCUUAGAGCAACCACGUCCCAUUUCUCUCUCGCCGGGCCCACAGGCGGCCACGGUCGGACACGGAUGCCCAAACACGGGUCAGGGUCAAAGGAAGCAGGAGAUGUGACCUGCCCCAGGAGCUCAGGGAUCUGAGAACAGAGGCAGGAAGAAGAGAGAGUGGCCGAGUGUUACCGCGGCCCCAACCCCGGGAGAUAUUAACCACCACCUGCUCAGGACAAGCCUACAUUUUACCUUUAGCUUGCAGGAAACCGCAAAGGGAGGAGGAGAAGACGGCUGAGGCCUGUAGUCAGCACCAGUCUAAACCGGUUCAAGGCAACAUGGCCGUCUGACUCGGCCUGACGUAGCCCGCAGCUCAUUGCACGCUCCUCGUAACACACUGUCAUAGCAUGGAACACACCCGCUGACACCACGCCAGUUUACAAUGACUGGAAACAAACCAAAGAGGGGAAGAAAGGAGGUGGCACCCUAUUCGCCUGAAAAGCUGCCCAGUUCCCGACUGUGAAUAUUCCUCCCCUUCGUUACCUGGACCCCUUAUAACAGCUGCCGAAUCGCCCCAGGGCUGAGAAGUCGGCUUGUAAACAGAGUUCCGACUUCUCGGUUCUUUGGCCGUUGAAUAAAGCUUGUGCUGUUGAACGCUCGGCUUUGGUUUUGUUUCAAAUCUGCAACACUGAACAGAAAAGAACCCUCUGGGGAAGGGACGGACUGUGGGCAGAGGCCCAGCCGUGAGCCCUGCCUCGGAGCUCCUCAGAAUGUGGGUUGGAGUCCCACGGGGGUGAGAUGAAAUUGAGUCCCACGGGGGUGAGAUGAAAUUGAGUCCCACGGGGGUGAGAUGAAAUGGGUAACAGAAUUGCUGCCUGCCGGAUGCAGGGCCAAUGGGAUGUGAGCCCUCAGGCUCCAAGAGCCCCAAACGCCCCCAGAAAAGCUGCAUGAACUCGCGUCGUGGACCCGUGGAGCUCGGCACAGCCAUGCUGCCUCCUCAUAUUGAUAAGAGCCGCUCCCCAGAGGUCAAAGUUAAUUAAACUGACAACCUUGAUAAGUCGCUCAGCUAACUGCUGCAGAUAAAUAAGAUGAGAAGUCUUGUUAUUUCUCUUGCUCUUUAAGCUCCAAUAGUCAUUUUAAAAUUAAAUUACAUGGCUUCUCUGAGCUAAUACGAAUCGAUGGGGCGAUCUUUCUUUGGUGACUCAGGGAUGGCUGACAGGCCUGUGGCCCUGGGAACAGUAGUCAUUUCAGCAAACGCAGCCACACGAUGGGUUUUGAAGUGACAGAUUCAAAACUGGGCUCAUUUCUCCCAAAGGUCACGGUUGCGUGGGCUCCACAUUCUGUCCUUUCUAACCUCGGAACCCGCCUUCACGCAGCAUCCAGUGCGUGGUCCUCCAGCCACAGCAGCCGGGUGUGCUCCAAUGUCCCCACAGAGACAGAAAUGUCCCCUCAGGGGGCUUGCUCUGCUUCUCUGAGGGGCUGUGGGGGCUGCAGGGGGAAAGAAGUCCCUGUGCCCAUCAAGACCCCUCGGGCCGCUGGUCUCUCCUCCUUCCGGUCUCUGUGUCCCGUCUCCCACGGGAGCCCAGAGGGAGCCAGCAGGUCGGGCGAUGAGAGGGUGUGGAGGAAACAGGAGCUCACAGCGGGUCUGAGCACGGGGCCCGUGACCUGUCGUGAACACAAAAGAAGAAACAGCCCAGCAGCCCCUAAGGUGCCUCAGUGGAGGACAGGAGGGGAGGGGAGAGAAGAAAGAAGAUGAAGAAAGUAAAAAAGAAAGAGAGGAGGGAGGAGCUGA
Molecule: RNA transcript, 11129 nt
Organism: Equus caballus (horse)
Lineage: Eukaryota; Metazoa; Chordata; Mammalia; Perissodactyla; Equidae
Gene: GALNT9
Gene name: polypeptide N-acetylgalactosaminyltransferase 9
Source: RefSeq, a predicted model, not a curated record